UGCUAUCAGAGCUUAACUUUUCUUCCUCGGCCCCGUCUCUGUGGCCUCUCACCCUUCCCCAAUAUUUGCAGGCUUGAGGCAAUCGCCGGCUCGACAAGUAAGAGCGGCGACGGAGCUCAGGUGACAUUGCUUAAGGUGAAAUCGAGACAGAUGCGAAGUGAAUCGGCGACAUGGAAGAGAUGUAGGCGAUGUUUCGCGAGAUUCGAGUUCCAGACCAUGCCGCCAUGGCCUUCCUUUCUACAGCUCGGCUUCCAAAUACAUCGCUUCUCAGUUCUCUCCAUCCAUGUCCCAAAGUGUGGUGGGAGGCCGGUGGAUGAGUAGCUCCCCAGACGCGUUGGUAUGAUGGUAUCGGAAUCGAAGUUACAAAAGCUAUGGUUUUAAUAGUACGCGGUGCAGAAUUUAAUUUUAGCAGUAUUUAGUUUUGAUCAACAAUAUGGAUUGCGGUACCUAACGCUUGGUUUGGGUGCAGUUAUGUCAUUUACAUAGAGGGUACUAUUACUGUAGAUGGAUACUUCGUUAGAUUCUAGACUGAACUAAUGACUAUAUGCAAUUGUUGAAAACUCCAGCCACCGAAGGGAGGGAAAUUUCUAGCUAUUUUCAGAUCUACGCCAGUGUAGGGUGACUUAUGGGUGUGACACAUUAUAAAAGAAUAUUGGGGGCUUGACAGUGUGACGUUUAAAAAACAUUUAGGCCCUCUUGGUUCUUUAGUUUGCAUUGGUGGUCCCACAUAUUCAUGUUUUUGUUGGAGAUAUAGAUGGUGGCAGCAAGAUUUAGUUUUGGCAUUCCCCGUUGGAUCUAAAUUAUCCACAUCAGAAGUGGUGUCAAUAGCUUUGUUGCAUUCGUGGGAAGAAGAUGAAUAAAACAUGUGCAGUUGAUUGACCUGAGAUAGGGAUGUGGAGGUAGAUAUGAACAUGGGAGUGUUAGCUGUAGGUGGCUUUUCUUCGUAGGUGUGUAAUUGUCGAAGGUAAACUCUAUUGACCUCUUGAGUGAAAAAUAUUGUUUUACCACCGAUCGGUGUAGGGAAUAAACUGUUAUAUGCUACAUGAAAAUUUAGUUCUUAACAUAUUUUUUUUGUCAGAGGUCUGGUUCAUUUAAUUAUCACAAUGACCACAUGUACAUCCUUUUUUGUAUUUCAGUCUAAGAUUUACUUAUGUUAUACAUAGGUUGAUACAUGGUGAUGCAUUAAUGAGGCUGGACGGGAUAUGCCUAAGCUACUCAAUGAGCAAGUGAGCCCAGGCUCUCUUCGAAGUUUUCAAGUUUGGAGUAUGGACAGCGGCGCUGCUGGCAUGUUAUUAUUCCUUCAUCAGAAUGCACACCUCCACCGGCUGAGGUGGUGAUGAUCUGUUGACAAGAGGUGGGUUCAUGAAGACAAGGAGCAUAUUUUGGCAACCGUAGCUUCAUCGAGUUUCAGUUUGAUGCAUUAAUUUCCCUGGCUGCAAAUUUCUGUAUGUAUGAUGAUUAUUUGUAGAACUUUGCAGAAUGGAAUGACUGCUGCAUGAAAGUUUAUCCUAGCUAUAGGCUAGAAAGAUUGAGAAUUAAGAAGAUAUAGAGUGUGUGAAAUUAGUAAAAUCGGUGUUUUUCCCCAUUUUUGGGUUGUGCCCGUAGCCGUAGGCGCUCUUGAAUGUAUUAACGAGCCGAUGUCCACCAGCAGAACAAGGGGGUGUGCUUGUGUUCGGUAUACUGGAUGUUAAAUUUGCCAUGUGUAAUAUUUAUUCCCAAAAACACCACAAAUUCUCAGAGGUGCAGUCCUGCUCACUAUGGCCCUUGGUGUUUGCCUUAUAUGCCACAACUUGGGAUCUUUGCUAGGUGUUCUUGA
Non-coding RNA from Lolium perenne, 1816 nucleotides. The record is from RefSeq and is a predicted model, not a curated record. NCBI's taxonomy places the organism in Eukaryota, Viridiplantae, Streptophyta, Magnoliopsida, Poales, Poaceae.